Molecule: ribosomal RNA, 882 nt
Filed under: uncultured Gammaproteobacteria bacterium
Lineage: Bacteria; Pseudomonadati; Pseudomonadota; Gammaproteobacteria
Also listed under: 1 other name
Description: bacterial SSU rRNA
Rfam family: Bacterial small subunit ribosomal RNA
Source: RNAcentral
GAUGAACGCUGGCGGCGUGCUUAACACAUGCAAGUCGAACGAUGAUCCCAGCUUGCUGGGGGAUUAGUGGCGAACGGGUGAGUAACACGUGAGUAACCUGCCCUUGACUCUGGGAUAAGCCUGGGAAACUGGGUCUAAUACCGGAUACGACCAUCUGGCGCAUGUCAUGGUGGUGGAAAGCUUUUGUGGUUUUGGAUGGACUCGCGGCCUAUCAGCUUGUUGGUGGGGUAAUGGCCUACCAAGGCGACGACGGGUAGCCGGCCUGAGAGGGUGACCGGCCACACUGGGACUGAGACACGGCCCAGACUCCUACGGGAGGCAGCAGUGGGGAAUAUUGCACAAUGGGCGCAAGCCUGAUGCAGCGACGCCGCGUGAGGGAUGACGGCCUUCGGGUUGUAAACCUCUUUCAGUAGGGAAGAAGCGAAAGUGACGGUACCUGCAGAAGAAGCGCCGGCUAACUACGUGCCAGCAGCCGCGGUAAUACGUAGGAGGCAAGCAUUAUCCGGAUUCAUUGGGCGUAAAGUGUGCGUAGGCGGACUAGUGUGUCUUAUUUUAAAGACCAAGGCUUAACCUUGGAUUUGGAUAGGAAACUAUUAGUCUUGAGGAUUAAUCGGGGUGAUAGAACAGUUAGUGUAGCAGUGAAAUGCGUUGAUAUUAACUGGAAUACCAAAGGCGAAGGCAGUCACCUGGGUUCUUCCUGACGCUGAGGCACGAAAGCUAGGGUAGCGAAACAGAUUAGAGACCUGUGUAGUCCUAGCCGUAAACGAUGUCUGCUAGAUUUUCUCUCGUCAAGUACAUAAGUAAAUUCUUGUGUCUUUGACGAGGGAGAGUCGCAAGCUAACGCGUUAAGCAGACCGCCUGGGGAGUACGGUCGCAAGACUA